AGCAAACAGGAUUAGAUACCCUGAUAGUCCACGCUGUAAACGGUGUCGAUUUAGAGGUUGUGGUCUUGAACCGUGGCUUCUGGAGCUAACGCGUUAAAUCGACCGCCUGGGGAGUACGGCCGCAAGGUUAAAACUCAAAUGAAUUGACGGGGGCCCGCACAAGCGGUGGAGCAUGUGGUUUAAUUCGAUGCAACGCGAAGAACCUUACCUACUCUUGACAUCCAGCGAAUCCUUUAGAGAUAGAGGAGUGCCUUCGGGAACGCUGAGACAGGUGCUGCAUGGCUGUCGUCAGCUCGUGUUGUGAAAUGUUGGGUUAAGUCCCGCAACGAGCGCAACCCUUAUCCUUUGUUGCCAGCACGUAAUGGUGGGAACUCAAAGGAGACUGCCGGUGAUAAACCGGAGGAAGGUGGGGAUGACGUCAAGUCAUCAUGGCCCUUACGAGUAGGGCUACACACGUGCUACAAUGGCAGAUACAAAGAGAAGCGACCUCGCGAGAGCAAGCGGAACUCAUAAAGUCUGUCGUGGUCCGGAUUGGAGUCUGCAACUCGACUCCAUGAAGUCGGAAUCGCUAGUAAUCGUAGAUCAGAAUGCUACGGUGAAUACGUUCCCGGGC
This 613-nucleotide ribosomal RNA is filed under the name Proteus mirabilis. RNAcentral's name for it is "bacterial SSU rRNA". It matches the Rfam family "Bacterial small subunit ribosomal RNA", at positions 767 to 1379 of the family's 1533-position model. Lineage: Bacteria; Pseudomonadati; Pseudomonadota; Gammaproteobacteria; Enterobacterales; Morganellaceae. The record is from RNAcentral.